This 497-nucleotide ribosomal RNA is filed under the name uncultured bacterium. RNAcentral's name for it is "partial 16S ribosomal RNA". It matches the Rfam family "Bacterial small subunit ribosomal RNA", at positions 28 to 507 of the family's 1533-position model. The record is from RNAcentral.
GAUGAACGCUGGCGGCGUGCCUAAUACAUGCAAGUCGAGCGAACAGACGAGGAGCUUGCUCCUCUGACGUUAGCGGCGGACGGGUGAGUAACACGUGGAUAACCUACCUAUAAGACUGGGAUAACUUCGGGAAACCGGAGCUAAUACCGGAUAAUAUAUUGAACCGCAUGGUUCAAUAGUGAAAGACGGUUUUGCUGUCACUUAGAGAUGGAUCCGCGCCGCAUUAGCUAGUUGGUAAGGUAACGGCUUACCAAGGCAACGAUGCGUAGCCGACCUGAGAGGGUGAUCGGCCACACUGGAACUGAGACACGGUCCAGACUCCUACGGGAGGCAGCAGUAGGGAAUAUUCCGCAAUGGGCGAAAGCUUGACGGAGCAACGCCGCGUGAGUGAUGAAGGUCUUCGGAUCGUAAAACUCUGUUAUUAGGGAAGAACAAAUGUGUAAGUAACUAUGCCCGUCUUGACGGUACCUAAUCAGAAAGCCACGGCUAACUACGUG